CGUCAGUCCGUGGCUCCGUGGAGAAACGGCACCGGCAAACUUUCUUCCACUGUACGUCCCGCUAGUAACAGAUACUGCAUCUUUUAUAAACCGAAGGCUGAGAUGGGUGACGGAGCUGAACAAGAAGUCGGAAGCUUGCAGAGGUGACUUCGUGAUGUUUGAGGGAAG
RNAcentral lists this long non-coding RNA (168 nucleotides) under Mustela putorius furo (domestic ferret). RNAcentral's name for it is "lncRNA (ENSMPUG00000029717.1)". The record is from RNAcentral. Lineage: Eukaryota; Metazoa; Chordata; Mammalia; Carnivora; Mustelidae.